AAACCAACAGGGAUUGCCCUAGUAACGGCGAGUGAAGCGGCAACAGCUCAAAUUUGAAAGCUGGCUCUCGGGCCCGCAUUGUAAUUUGCAGAGGAUGCUUCUGGCGACGCGCCUUCCGAGUUCCCUGGAACGGGACGCCAUAGAGGGUGAGAGCCCCGUCCGGUCGUGCGCCUAGCCUCUGUGAAGCUCCUUCGACGAGUCGAGUAGUUUGGGAAUGCUGCUCAAAAUGGGAGGUAUACGUCUUCUAAAGCUAAAUACCGGCCAGAGACCGAUAGCGCACAAGUAGAGUGAUCGAAAGAUGAAAAGCACUUUGAAAAGAGAGUUAAAAAGUACGUGAAAUUGUUGAAAGGGAAGCGCUCAUGACCAGACUUGGGCUGGCUCGAUCAUCCGGCGUUCUCGCCGGUGCACUCGGGCCGCUCAGGCCAGCAUCAGCUUCCGCCGGGGGAUAAAGGCGGUGGGAAUGUGGCUCCCUCGGGAGUGUUAUAGCCCGCCGUGCAAUACCCUGGUGGGGGCUGAGGUUCGCGCGUAUGCACGGAUGCUGGCGUAAUGGUCAUCAGCGACCCGUCUUGAAACACGGACCAAGGAGUCGUCUUCGUAUGCGAGUGUUCGGGUGUCAAACCCCUACGCGGAAUGAAAGUGAACGCUGGUGAGAGCUUCGGCGCAUCACCGACCGAUCCUGAUGUUCUCGGAUGGAUUUGAGUAAGAGCAUACGGGGCCGGACCCGAAAGAAGGUGAACUAUGCCUGUAUAGGGUGAAGCCAGAGGAAACUCUGGUGGAGGCUCGCAGCGGUUCUGACGUGCAAAUCGAUCGUCAAAUAUGGGCA
Molecule: ribosomal RNA, 823 nt
Filed under: Trichothecium crotocinigenum
Lineage: Eukaryota; Fungi; Ascomycota; Sordariomycetes; Hypocreales
Description: partial large subunit ribosomal RNA
Rfam family: Eukaryotic large subunit ribosomal RNA
Source: RNAcentral